This 464-nucleotide ribosomal RNA is filed under the name Vreelandella stevensii. RNAcentral's name for it is "partial 16S ribosomal RNA". It matches the Rfam family "Bacterial small subunit ribosomal RNA", at positions 338 to 795 of the family's 1533-position model. The record is from RNAcentral. Lineage: Bacteria; Pseudomonadati; Pseudomonadota; Gammaproteobacteria; Oceanospirillales; Halomonadaceae.
CCUACGGGCGGCAGCAGUGGGGAAUAUUGGACAAUGGGCGAAAGCCUGAUCCAGCCAUGCCGCGUGUGUGAAGAAGGCCUUCGGGUUGUAAAGCACUUUCAGUGGGGAAGAAAGCCUUGGGGCUAAUACCCUCGAGGAAGGACAUCACCCACAGAAGAAGCACCGGCUAACUCCGUGCCAGCAGCCGCGUAAUACGGAGGGUGCGAGCGUUAAUCGGAAUUACUGGGCGUAAAGCGCGCGUAGGCGGUCUGAUAAGCCGGUUGUGAAAGCCCCGGGCUCAACCUGGGAACGGCAUCCGGAACUGUCAGGCUAGAGUGCAGGAGAGGAAGGUAGAAUUCCCGGUGUAGCGGUGAAAUGCGUAGAGAUCGGGAGGAAUACCAGUGGCGAAGGCGGCCUUCUGGACUGACACUGACGCUGAGGUGCGAAAGCGUGGGUAGCAAACAGGAUUAGAUCCCCGUGUAGUC